This is a small nuclear RNA of Erinaceus europaeus (western European hedgehog), 106 nucleotides long. The record is from Ensembl. Lineage: Eukaryota; Metazoa; Chordata; Mammalia; Eulipotyphla; Erinaceidae.
GUGCUCACUUCAGCAGCACAUAUACAAAAUUUGGAACAUACAGGGAAGAUUAGUGUGACUCUUAUGCAAGGAUGACAUAUGAGUUCAUGAAGUAUUCCAUAUUAAA